This 1219-nucleotide long non-coding RNA is filed under the name Apis dorsata (giant honeybee). RNAcentral's name for it is "uncharacterized LOC102676042, transcript variant X1". The record is from RNAcentral. Lineage: Eukaryota; Metazoa; Arthropoda; Insecta; Hymenoptera; Apidae.
GCUUGGAACGAGUACGAGACUCGACACGUCAGCCGCGCCUUCACUUAACGGAAUGGAAUUUGUCAACGGUUCCAUGGGACGUCGAAUAAAAUUCAAAUGGGCAGGGGUGGAUUUUCGUGACGAGAACGUGCCAUCCGCCGAUAAUUCAACGGUUAACAACGGUUGAUUAUGAAAGAGCUUUUUCUCAUCAAGGAAGAAGGAAACGUUAAUAUGGAAAUCUUACGAAUUUUCACGAAGUUUCCCUUUAAGCUGAAAAAUCAUUUUUCAAGUGAAUAUUAUUUUUUAUAAUUAAAUAGCCGUCUACAGGCCAGAUUAAAGGCUUUCUUCUUUGUGAGAUAAUCACUUUGAAAAGGUACGCGAAGCUUUACCAAUUAUCUAGAGGCUUCUACCGUCGGUUUUUCCGGGAACAGAAAUUUUAAUUAGUUCAAAAUUUGGAUAAGCUCAAGAAAACUGAAAAUCAUAAGAUUAUACAUCUCGACCAUUGACGUGAUUAAUCUCUGUUCAAAAUGAAAAAUAGUAAAGAGAGGAUGCACAAUAUCGAUACAACAAUAUUUUUCGGAUCAUUUUUCGACUUUCUUCGCCUCCCUGUUCAUCGCCUUUCUCGUAACACGGUAAACUACUUUCGACUCUUUUUAUCCCGGUCUAAAAGAGGAAGAAGAAGAAGAAGAAGAAGCAGUUGAGAGGGGGUGGUCGGGAGCGGGUCCAGGAAGCUGCAUUCAAACCAAGGGAUAUAUAUCCUCGGCUCUUUGGCAUCGAGAAAACUAACGAGAGGGCAUUCCAGGACUUGGCUUAAGGAAGUUUAUUUUCUUAAUACCGAGGGCCGUGCAUCAGUCUUCCUGUUAGAGUCGCAAGUCGCUAUUCAGAAGCUUCAUUAGGAGAAGCACGCAUUCAGAUUGCUUGGUGAACUCGCGUGACCCCCGGCCAUUCCAAAGGUUUUAAGAGUAUCGGUGUCUUUUUUUAGAAUUUUCUCCUCCUCUAUAUUUCUUUCUACUUUCUUUUUUUCGUUACUUUCGUUUCCCUCUUCUUACUCUUCUUCAACUGUUUCUUCCAUCUCGUUCCUCUUUCGUACUCCGACCACUUUUUUAAUUUUAUUAUAAAGGUAAUGAAAGACGCGUUGUAAAAUUUGCUCUGUCUGGGAAAUUAAUUUCUAUAGCCUAAGAAAUUGUUAUAAACGGUAUCAAAAUCCUCUUUUUCAUCGAAUAACCUUCGAAAAGUUCCG